UGGAUCUUUUCCUAUGGGUUGGUUGUUCCUCUAAUAGGCAUGGGUGGUCUUUCUCUUUUUUUUUUUUUGUAUUUUUAAUAUCGUGUUUCUGCAAUUAUUCUCUUUUGGGCUUAGCACAAUUUAUUGUUUUACACAUAAUUUUUAAAAUAUCAUAAAUAUGAAAACCUUUGACACAAAAAAGGUAGAAAACCAGAACUUAAGGCUUGAUUGGUUCUCCCUCUACCACCCGCAAACACAGCGUUUACGGUUGGUAGCGAUUGUUAGCGGUUGUUAGCGAUUGACACCAAUCAUAAAAACCGCUAGACAUCGCUUUGGACCGCUC
Molecule: long non-coding RNA, 322 nt
Organism: Arabidopsis thaliana (thale cress)
Lineage: Eukaryota; Viridiplantae; Streptophyta; Magnoliopsida; Brassicales; Brassicaceae
Product: other RNA
Exons: 1
Source: RefSeq